RNAcentral lists this long non-coding RNA (1005 nucleotides) under Homo sapiens (human). RNAcentral's name for it is "PREDICTED lncRNA (TCONS_00209327)". Lineage: Eukaryota; Metazoa; Chordata; Mammalia; Primates; Hominidae. The record is from RNAcentral.
AUUACAGAUUCCACAUUGCAGCUAAUCUUCAUUAAACUACCACGUGGUGAAUUUUAAUGUAGUAUCCAAGAAGCAUACUGACACCUUCUCCAUUGUCCUACUAUGUAUCUGUGUAAGGCCAGAUUUUCUUCAUAUACAUUAACCAAAGCAACAUAUGGCAACAGACUGAAUGAAGAGGCAGGUUUCCUGGGACUCUGUUGCAUCAAAUUCUACUGCUAGGCAUCAAUUUUAAAGUAUUUCAUCAGUUGGACCUACCAAAUAUCAAGUCAGGAUUUGGCCAUCUCUGCUCUUGCCAUUCCACCUCUCACGACUCUAUCCUCAAAACCUGGGCUUGGCUGGGAACAAGAGAUUUAAAUCAGACUCUUUUAGGUUUUCCUAAUAAGACUGCUGCAAAUAAGGAUUGAGCCCUAGCUGAAGGCCUCAUCCUUCCAUGCCCUUUGCUUGUCCACCCAUCAACAAGCCAGGAUGAGGAGAAGCAAAGACAGCAGCAUUUACCCACAGAACCCUUUGUUGGCAGAAGCAAAAAUUGAUAGUGGAACACAUGAGGGCAGUUCCACAAGAUCCGUCCAUGAAGAGUCGGAUUUAUCAAGAAAAAUAUUAUUCUUUCGUGAACAAGAAAGAAAACAAGACAAUUUAAAAACAUCUAGAUUAAAGAUGAGCAUGUCAAUUUCAGGUGUAAGUGGCCUCGCAGGAAUGAAAGGCUGUGCUGUCUGUAUACCACUGCACUGUUGCCUCCCUGGAGAACUUUAUGCCUUACCCUGGAAGCACCCUAUCUUCAAAGCAGGGGUGUUUGAAAAUUCAUUCCCAUAACAGUGUGGAGCACAUCGAGAAAGACUGUACUGAAACUUCCAGAUAGAACUUAUGAGGACCCAGACCCAGCAGUGGCUGUGAGGAUGAAGAGGCAAUGGGAUCUGGGACCUCAGAUAGAUCCAAGAAAUAUGCAGCAGUGGGGAUCAACGGCCUUGUAUAGAUCCUUGAUGUUAGAAGGAAAAGUGAGAUGAAUGA